GAUGAACGCUGGCGGCGUUCUUAACACAUGCAAGUCGAACGGAAAGGCCCAAGCUUGCUUGGGUACUCGAGUGGCGAACGGGUGAGUAACACGUGGGUGAUCUGCCCUGCACUUCGGGAUAAGCCUGGGAAACUGGGUCUAAUACCGGAUAGGACCACAUUUUGGAUGGUGUGGUGGAAAGUUUUUCGGUGUGGGAUGAGCUCGCGGCCUAUCAGCUUGUUGGUGGGGUAAUGGCCUACCAAGGCGUCGACGGGUAGCCGGCCUGAGAGGGUGUACGGCCACAUUGGGACUGAGAUACGGCCCAGACUCCUACGGGAGGCAGCAGUGGGGAAUAUUGCACAAUGGGCGCAAGCCUGAUGCAGCGACGCCGCGUGGGGGAUGACGGCCUUCGGGUUGUAAACUCCUUUCGCUAGGGACGAAGCGCAAGUGACGGUACCUGGAGAAGAAGCACCGGCUAACUACGUG
This 465-nucleotide ribosomal RNA is filed under the name uncultured bacterium. RNAcentral describes it as "partial 16S ribosomal RNA". It matches the Rfam family "Bacterial small subunit ribosomal RNA", at positions 28 to 507 of the family's 1533-position model. The record is from RNAcentral.